UCCGCCUGCACCUAAUAGAGGCUACAACUGAGCAGCUUGUUUGAACUGACCCAUGUAGAUGCUAAAAUUGCUGCUGGCUCUUCAUGUGAAUUAACAAUUCAUGGCUUCUAAGUUCUAACUUGCCAUGCUUGAAAAGAAUCAUUCAGCUGACUGGCCAAGAGGGACUAUGUUGGUGCAUCGAUGACUCUUUUUUACUAAGUACACAUCACAGUGAUGUCUUGUGGUAUGUCCCCCGCACCUGAGAGCUUUGGCUCUCGCUCCCCGUACCUCCAGCUAUUGACUUGCCAUCUGCCGUAUGGACACUUGGAAUAAAGCAUCAUUUGGCAAAUACUUCUCAGUGGGUGAGUGCACCUGAAGAAACGCCCAUCGGCAUGAAACGGCACCAUUGUGCUUCGAUGAACGUCCCUGCCACACUGCUCUGCAUGGCAUACACGGGGAUUGUCCUCAGAACCACUCUUCACAUGUACGCUGCUACAUCAUGAAAUAAAGAAGUUCUGCUGACCGGAUCUUUUGCCAGUCUUUGCAAUCUGGGAAGAGCCAACCUCAAUUCACCCAUGAAAUCAGCAACUCGGGUCACAUAUGCCUCUACCAGACCCACACCAGUAACCAUUCCCCUUCGGAACACUGUCAGGUCUGAAUUAUAAGGUGCCUAAAUAAAUAAGACAAGCUAAUAAUAUAAUGCUUAAUUACAUGUAUAGAAAAACACUCUAUACCAUGUAAUAUACAGUCUAUGGGACCUAUGCAGAGGGUAAACUUAUUUUAUUACUGUUGAUAGCCUG
Long non-coding RNA from Hyla sarda, 779 nucleotides. RefSeq lists it as uncharacterized. The transcript is spliced from 4 exons. The record is from RefSeq and is a predicted model, not a curated record. Lineage: Eukaryota; Metazoa; Chordata; Amphibia; Anura; Hylidae.